GUAGGUGGCAAGCGUUGUCCGGAAUUAUUGGGCGUAAAGCGCGCGCAGGUGGUUCUUUAAGUCUGAUGUGAAAGCCCCCGGCUCAACCGGGGAGGGUCAUUGGAAACUGGGGAACUUGAGUGCAGGAGAGGAAAGUGGAAUUCCACGUGUAGCGGUGAAAUGCGUAGAUAUGUGGAGGAACACCAGUGGCGAAGGCGACUUUCUGGCCUGUAACUGACACUGAGGCGCGAAAGCGUGGGGAGCAAACAGGGAUCAGAUACCCUGGUAGUCCACGCCGUAAACGAUGAGUGCUAAGUGUUGGGGGGGUUUCCGCCCCCUCAGUGCUGCAGCUAACGCAUUAAGCACUCCGCCCUGGGAGUACGGUCGCAAGACUG
RNAcentral lists this ribosomal RNA (374 nucleotides) under uncultured organism. Its description in RNAcentral is "partial 16S ribosomal RNA". It matches the Rfam family "Bacterial small subunit ribosomal RNA", at positions 527 to 896 of the family's 1533-position model. The record is from RNAcentral.